UGCUUUCCCCAGAAUAUCUCCCUUGAGCCUCUGCUUCCCCUUGACACAACCAGGGCCAGCACUGGUGCAUCAUGGAAUAAUCUGCUUUCCUCAGCCUCUUGGUAUAGCGAAUGCCCGAGUUUAUGAUACACACCAAAGACAGAGGUUUUUAAAAUUCUGAUUCAGAAUAAUAAAGAAAAAGUCUUUAUUAUUCCACAAACCUGCAAGUUAUUAGCCAAACUUAUUUCCUGCCUGCCCAUAUGUAGCGGUGUUAGUAACUUUGAAAGUGGGGGGAGGGCAGAGGCAAAUUUGCAGAGCUCCUCUUACUGCUCACCUGGAGGCAAUCCUUACCCAAAAUUGAGCAGCUGUUAUCAAUUCUAAAGCUAAAAUAAAAAAUGCUAGAACUACCAAAUCACAACCUGGAAAGCCAUGCUUUCCUUUUAACUGCCUUCAGCCAUGGCUUCUCCCACCCUUUUUUUAGCCCUCUUCCCAUGCUGUCUUUCUGGGGCAAAAACAUGCAGACGAGAGGAAGGAGAUUAGAAGAAGGGGAGGGGGAAGCAGCUGGAGAGAUCAACCAUUUUGGAGGAUGCACCACAGUACAUUCCCAUGGAGGCAAAUCAUGGCAUUGGGGUGUUAGUUGUCUUGUGCCCAAGCUGCACUUCGUUCAGCAAAAUCUGUGUGAGGCAAGAGGAUAGAAAGUCAGCCAGCAAAUAAGCCAAAGCUCUCUGACCUACUUUCUUCCUACGCUUUGGGAGCCCUUGGCCUUAAAACAGGAAGCACCAGGUAUAAGUGGCUCAUUAAUGUCUUCCUGGAGGCCUUUACUGAACCCUGCCAAUCUCCUUUCCUUCCUACUCCUUUUCCAAGUCAAUUAAUGAAGGGACCAGUCACCUCCUUUAUGGAACUUGGUAGGUUAUUGGAAUGGAUUUUUUUGUCUCCAUAUGGAAAAAUGCCUGCAUGAUGCCACUUCUCUUGCUGUCUUCCAAUCCCUUUAAAUAGACAACACAACUUUCCCCAUUAGGUUUUAGGGGGGGGUGUUUUUUAAAGGGACCCAUCUGCCACCAUUGCUGAGCACUGGUUGAUGGGAGAUUGAGUCCAGUAACAUCUGGAGGGCCCCACAGGCUCCCCAUCCCUGCAUUAUAACUAAGUUUAACUAUGUGUAGCCAAAAUGAUUGCAACAACUUGCUAAUCUUCACCUCUGUUUCCUUCUCCUUCCCCUGUUGCUUCUAGGGUUGGUAUCAAGGACCACCACAAUCAUCGGGCAUCUACCAAGGCCCCACAUGCCAGGAGAAUGCUCACUGCCAAAAGCCUCUUGGAUCUCCUCCGCAUCAGCAUCAUUGCAACCCACCUGUUUAAUUGCCUACCUUUUGGCCCAGGAAAUGAGGGGUCGCGAGGAGGUGCAGGAAAUUCCACUGCCUGCAGGUGGGGGUGUUUUUGUCAAAACUGCUGACCUUUUUUUUUUUUUUUUGCUUUUGAGCUAUUGUUUUUUAAAAAUUCACCA
Non-coding RNA from Podarcis lilfordi (Lilford's wall lizard), 1477 nucleotides. The record is from the annotation of a GenBank genome assembly. NCBI's taxonomy places the organism in Eukaryota, Metazoa, Chordata, Lepidosauria, Squamata, Lacertidae.